GGGCUCAUUCCCGAGUUCCGUGCCGCAGCUAACGCAUUAAGUGCCCCGCCUGGGGAGUACGGCCGCAAGGCUAAAACUCAAAGGAAUUGACGGGGGCCCGCACAAGCGGCGGAGCAUGCGGAUUAAUUCGAUGCAACGCGAAGAACCUUACCAAGGCUUGACAUACACCGGAAACGUCCAGAGAUGGUCGCCCCGUAAGGUCGGUGUACAGGUGGUGCAUGGUUGUCGUCAGCUCGUGUCGUGAGAUGUUGGGUUAAGUCCCGCAACGAGCGCAACCCUCGUCCCAUGUUGCCAGCGGGUUAUGCCGGGGACUCAUGGGAGACUGCCGGGGUCAACUCGGAGGAAGGUGGGGAUGACGUCAAAUCAUCAUGCCCCUUAUGUCUUGGGCUUCACGCAUGCUACAAUGGCCGGUACAAAGGGCUGCGAUACCGUAAGGUGGAGCGAAUCCCAAAAAGCCGGUCUCAGUUCGGAUUGGGGUCUGCAACUCGACCCCAUGAAGUCGGAGUCGCUAGUAAUCGCAGAUCAGCAACGCUGCGGUGAAUACGUUCCCGGGCCUUGUACACACCGCCCGUCAAGUCACGAAAGUCGGUAACACCCGAAGCCCAUGGCCCAACCCUUGUGGGGGGAGUGGUCGAAGGUGGGACUGGCGAUUGGGACUAAGUCGUAACAAGGUAGCCG
This 678-nucleotide ribosomal RNA is filed under the name uncultured bacterium. RNAcentral's name for it is "bacterial SSU rRNA". It matches the Rfam family "Bacterial small subunit ribosomal RNA", at positions 825 to 1502 of the family's 1533-position model. The record is from RNAcentral.